GGUAAUUUAAUCUUAUAAUCAAAACAAAUGGAUCAAAAAAAUAUACAUAAAUAUACAAAAGCAAAGAGGAGUUACUUUAAUUUCCUCCCAUCACCCCAACAAAACAAUAAUUCCCACUCAAUAAAACCAAAACAAACAAAAAAUAAAUAAGAAAACUGUCAAACUCUAUAGGGUCUUCUCGUCCCAUAAAAACAUUUAAGAAUUUUAACUCAAAAACCAAAUUCAAUAAAUCAAUGCCUCUAAGACAGAUUAUGUCUCGUCAAGCCAUUCAUACCAGAUCACAAUUAAAGAACUAAUGAUUAUGCUACCUUUGCACGGUCAAAAUACCGCGGCCCUUCAACUUUAACGUCAGUGGGCAGGCCAUACUUCAAAAACUAACAAGAAAAGAUGUUUUUGUUAAACAGGCGGACAUAAAAACUUUGCCGAAUUCCUCAAAAGCAAUUAACACCUAUCCAACAAAACAACCAAUAAAAUUUACUAAUUACACAAUAAUUACUAUACAAACCAAAAGUAAAGAAAACAUUUCAAUAAACAACUUAAAUAACAAAAAAAUCGAAAAAACAACAAAUAAAAUUUUAACAUAAUCAAAUAGAAAAUCACCAUAAAAUCCACAAAACUAAAUUAAACAAUAACCAAUUAUAAAAGUAAAAAAAGGAGCUAAUCCCCCCUAAUCUUAACAUCAAAUAAAAAUAAAUAAACCAACAACAGAAAUUAAAUAAGAUGUAUGAAUUAAA
Molecule: ribosomal RNA, 734 nt
Filed under: Nasutitermes exitiosus
Lineage: Eukaryota; Metazoa; Arthropoda; Insecta; Blattodea; Termitidae
Description: partial 16S rRNA
Source: RNAcentral